Molecule: ribosomal RNA, 404 nt
Filed under: Actinomycetes bacterium
Lineage: Bacteria; Bacillati; Actinomycetota; Actinomycetes
Description: Actinobacteria bacterium partial 16S ribosomal RNA
Rfam family: Bacterial small subunit ribosomal RNA
Source: RNAcentral
UGGGGAAUAUUGGACAAUGGGCGCAAGCCUGAUCCAGCCAUUCCGCGUGAGUGAUGAAGGCCCUAGGGUUGUAAAGCUCUUUCACCGGUGAAGAUAAUGACGGUAACCGGAGAAGAAGCCCCGGCUAACUUCGUGCCAGCAGCCGCGGUAAUACGAAGGGGGCUAGCGUUGUUCGGAUUUACUGGGCGUAAAGCGCACGUAGGCGGACUAUUAAGUCAGGGGUGAAAUCCCGGGGCUCAACCCCGGAACUGCCUUUGAUACUGGUAGUCUUGAGUUCGAGAGAGGUGAGUGGAAUUCCGAGUGGAGAGGUGAAAUACGUAGAUAUUAGGAGGAACACCAGUGGCGAAGGCGGCUCACUGGCUCGAUACUGACGCUGAGGUGCGAAAGCGGGGGGAGCAAACAGG